AAUGGAACAAUAAUGGUCACAAUUUUCCAGAAACAGAAAAGAAGUUCACAGAAGAUGAUGAUGGAGAGAUGGCCCUGUUCACCUCAGAGAAGCACAUUUACAAUGACGAGGCAAGACCAAGACACUGGGAAUGCUGGCGCUGCACGCCGUGGAGGUCCCUGUCCGUUCCCAAGAGGAGCAGAGGGAACCUGAGGGCACCGAGGAACAGGGAAUCGAACAACAAAAGUGCUCCUGACUGGGGGCACCCAGGGGGCUCAGUCGGGGAAGUGUCAGGCUCUCGAUUUCCGCUCAGGUCACAAUCUCAGGGGCAUGAGAUCAGGCCCGGGUCCGGCUCCGUGCUGGGCGGGAAGCCAGCUGGGGAUUCUCUCUCCCUCUCCCCGCCUGCCUGUGUGCGCACCUUCAAAUAGAUCUUGACUACUGGAUGUCACACACAAAGACAUUUGUCACAUAGCCGAAGGGGCACCCUGAAAGUAAAAACCCCUGCAAAGAGGACGCACCCUGCGCGCCAGCUUCCCUCCCUGGAAGGACCCGCCGGUGCUUCUGGGCCGGGAGACCGUGAAGAUGAGGGCCCAGCCGGGGCUGGAUCCGGCAAAGCCCGGGAACUUCCUGGGGGAAAGAACAGUAGCUGUUACAGCAUAAACAAAGGGAAGAAGAAAAGCCACAGACGGGUUACCAAGGAGGUGGGCGGGUGCGUCCAUGACUCGUCACCACCAGAAGUCAGCGAACCGGUCGGCGAUGUGGUUAGAACAACUCCCAGUGAAACAACAUCAUUUUCAGAUGGGAAAAAAAAAAAAAAAAAAAAGCGUAAGAGAAACCAGGAAGGAGCAGGUGUUUUCUCCAGCUCUUCUCGCCGUCCUAGAAGGUGACUCUCUCGAAGGGUGACUGUCCAGUUAAAUUGUAAAGCACCAAGCGAGCGUCUGCCGGGAGUCGCGGACCUGUCCGGCGGUGCUGGAACGGCAAGUCGGAAACUCUCAUGUAUUUUAUCUUCCUGAAUUUUUUAAUUUAUUGGACAGAGACACAGCGAGAGAGGGAACACAAGCAGGAGGAGCGGGAGACAGAGAAGACGGAGAAGCCGGUUUCCCGCCGAGCGGGGCUUGAUCCCGUGACUCCAGCCGAAGACUGAGCCACCCAGGCGCCCGUCACCCACCCUCUCUGUCUUCACCACCUGCCCUCCGCGAUUCUCUUUAGUUGAAUCAUCAGCGUCAUUGUUUGCUGUGCUCAGUGCAUAGUGGCCCCUGUUAGAACUGCCUCACGCGUGUUUUCACACGUAAUUCCUACCCAGGCCAAGGAGCUGGGGAGGAGCCUCCGUCCUGUUCUACCGAAAAGGACGCUGAGAGCCCAGGGUCAGGCUCCGAGGUGCCUGUGUGGAUAGAAAUGUAAAACAGGGGCGCCUGGGUGGCUCAGUGGGUUAAAGCCUCUGCCUUUAGCUCGAGUCAUG
This is a long non-coding RNA of Mustela erminea (ermine), 1438 nucleotides long. RefSeq lists it as uncharacterized. Lineage: Eukaryota; Metazoa; Chordata; Mammalia; Carnivora; Mustelidae. The transcript has 3 exons. The record is from RefSeq and is a predicted model, not a curated record.